GACGAACGCUGGCGGCGUGCCUAAUACAUGCAAGUCGAACGCAUUUUCUUUCACCGUAGCUUGCUACACCGAAAGAAAAUGAGUGGCGAACGGGUGAGUAACACGUGGGUAACCUGCCCAUCAGCGGGGGAUAACACUUGGAAACAGGUGCUAAUACCGCAUAAUUCCAUUUACCGCAUGGUAAAUGGAUGAAAGGCGCUUUUGCGUCACUGAUGGAUGGACCCGCGGUGCAUUAGCUAGUUGGUGGGGUAACGGCCUACCAAGGCUGCGAUGCAUAGCCGACCUGAGAGGGUGAUCGGCCACACUGGGACUGAGACACGGCCCAGACUCCUACGGGAGGCAGCAGUAGGGAAUCUUCGGCAAUGGACGCAAGUCUGACCGAGCAACGCCGCGUGAGUGAAGAAGGUUUUUGGAUCGUAAAACUCUGUUGUUAGAGAAGAACAAGGAUGAGAGUGGAAAGUUCAUCCCUUGACGGUAUCUAACCAGAAAGCCACGGCUAACUACGUG
This 507-nucleotide ribosomal RNA is filed under the name uncultured bacterium. RNAcentral describes it as "partial 16S ribosomal RNA". It matches the Rfam family "Bacterial small subunit ribosomal RNA", at positions 28 to 507 of the family's 1533-position model. The record is from RNAcentral.